RNAcentral lists this ribosomal RNA (268 nucleotides) under uncultured Hyphomicrobiales bacterium. RNAcentral's name for it is "uncultured Rhizobiales bacterium partial 16S ribosomal RNA". It matches the Rfam family "Bacterial small subunit ribosomal RNA", at positions 65 to 358 of the family's 1533-position model. The record is from RNAcentral. Lineage: Bacteria; Pseudomonadati; Pseudomonadota; Alphaproteobacteria; Hyphomicrobiales.
AGCGGCCGUAGCAAUACGGCAGCGGCAGACGGGAUAGUUAUCGNUGGGAACGCGAAAAAUAAGUCUGGAAUAACCCAGGGAAACUUGGGCUAAUACCGGAUACGCCCUUACGGGGAAAGAUUUAUUGCUGAAGGAACGGCCCGCGUCCGAUUAGCUAGUUGGUGAGGUAACGGCUCACCAAGGCGACGAUCGGUAGCUGGUCUGAGAGGAUGACCAGCCUCACUGGGACUGAGACACGGCCCUUACUCCUACGGGAGGCAGCAGUGGG